GAUCUAACUAACUGGACCUGAUGUUCUAGCAUGUGACCUCCUUUGGAAGGGAGAGCAUUGCAGAGGGCUGGCUCUCGGGCACGACAAAGCCAUUGCACGGUUUUGGUUUUGGCUGAUCCAUCUUCCUGCCUCAGCUGCCAGAUCCACUCCCAAGGCAGUGAAAUGCUUUGGAAGGAAAUCGGAUUGCAAUUUAAUUGAUGGCCUGGGCGAUGUGCUACAGUCAUUAGACUGCCCUGAAAAGCCAGCCGGUUGUGUACAGAGGCAAUGUAGCUUUGUUUGGAUAAGACCACGUGUGCACUCCACUCUCCUCCGGCCCCCUCCACUCCAGCAAACCCUCCAGCUCUGCCUCCUGCCUCGCACUCUCUCCAGCCACUGUCCCUGCUGUCUUUCGGGAAAAUCUCUCUUCUCUGACCCUGCCAUUAGGCAGCCUUAAAUUCCUCCACCAUCUGUGCUGCAGUCCCCAGGUGCCCUAUUCUGCAGGCCACUGGAGAACGUGCCUCCCAAGAAAGCUUCCAGAUUCUUCCCCUGUGUCUUGACUGCAAUGCCUGCCUUCCUGUCAAGGCUCUGACAAGUCCUGUGGCCAAAAGAAAAUAUACUCUGUGUGAUUGGACUCCCUCCCUAGUCAUUCUCAUGUUUUCUCCCCAUUCUUCUCUUUGGUCACAUCUGACUUAUUAACAUUUUGUAAAAUGGCAUUUCCCAGAAUUCCAGUUUAAUCCAGAUUUGGCUAACAUCUUUAGGUUGGAUUUCAAGGCUCUGCAUGGAGAGGUGUUGACUGUCCUAUUUUCCAGCCUACCAUGGAUUAGUCGCUCUUUCUUUUUUCCUCUCUGUCUCUCUCUGUGUCUCUCAGUUUAUGUCCGUCUUUUGCCUCUCUAUCCCAGUCUCUUAGUCUCUGUCUCCCUGUCUAUCUUUUUCAUUCUCUUUUCUCUGUCUCUCUCUCUCUGAUGCUACAUUUUAUUUAUUUAUUUGCUCUAUUCUUAUUCUAUGUGUAUAUGUGUAUUGUAUGUGUGUAUGUGUAUGUGUAUGUGUGUAUGUGUGUAUUGUGUGUAUGUGUGUAUUGUGUGUAUGUGUGUAUGUGUAUGUGUGUAUGUGUGUAUUGUGUGUAUGUGUGUGUGUAUUGUGUGUAUUGUGUGUAUGUGUGUGUGUAUGUGUGUAUUGUGUGUAUGUGUAUGUGUGUACUGUGUAUGUGUGUAUGUGUGUAUGAUAUGGGCGAUACGAAUAAAGUCCUGGGUUUUCUGCAAGAGUGG
This 1244-nucleotide long non-coding RNA is filed under the name Nannospalax galili (Upper Galilee mountains blind mole rat). RNAcentral's name for it is "lncRNA (ENSNGAG00000024415.1)". Lineage: Eukaryota; Metazoa; Chordata; Mammalia; Rodentia; Spalacidae. The record is from RNAcentral.